UGAUCUUUAACUGAAGUGCAUCGUACAAGA
RNAcentral lists this non-coding RNA (30 nucleotides) under Rattus norvegicus (Norway rat). Lineage: Eukaryota; Metazoa; Chordata; Mammalia; Rodentia; Muridae. The record is from RNAcentral.